This is a long non-coding RNA of Diachasmimorpha longicaudata, 1048 nucleotides long. RefSeq lists it as uncharacterized. NCBI's taxonomy places the organism in Eukaryota, Metazoa, Arthropoda, Insecta, Hymenoptera, Braconidae. The transcript has 4 exons. The record is from RefSeq and is a predicted model, not a curated record.
GACGCAACCACUUUCGUGAUUAACAUUUUAAGGUUAUGGUUUUCGGCCAAAUCCACGAAACCCCUGCAGAGUCUCCUCGGCCAAGCUGGGGGACAGUUCGCUACAAUGACCCCACUUUUUCAAAAUGCCAACAUCACACCAACGGGGAACCUCGGGGAGGUAGUCCAUGACAUACGCUCAGAUAUGUAGGACCUCACAGCAGUGGCAACUGCCCUUCAAUGGUACAUUUCCCAAAUCCACAAAAUAUGUUUGUUGGAAAAUUAGAACACAGCUCUUCUGUUUAUCUUCAAAAAUCACUCGGCUUUAGCGUCACUGGAAUGGAAAAGCAGUCGAUGUGGAACAGCGUCUGACAUUCCCCGAACUCUAAAUAUCUGGAAAUCCUUAAGAGAUCUCGAGUAGGAGCCGAAGCCACAUCGUCCGCAUUGUCAGUCUGUUGCUUUUGUCCGUUUAACGAGAAGAUUGUCCGAAGACCUUUCCAUGAUUAUUCUGAAGGCCUCUGAAAGAUCUUCCACAGACUGAAAUUUGUCAACGCGCGAUAGUGAUCAACUUCUGAUUAUAAGAUUUUGUUACUGACAGCUGCGUAUGGUUUCGUUGUACUCCGUAGAGUGGAGAAAUUCCGUCACAUUACACAAACAUAACAAGUAUUCCAGCGUCAAUGCGCCGCCUGGAGGCAGAUUUCAGUAAUCAGUUCAAAUUUGUUACAAAUAUUCGAUACAGAAUUUCAUUAAAGCUGAUGCACAAAUCGCUUCCGCAAAUCUCAUCAAAUUAUUCCACCUUAAUUGUCAGCUACCUCGUAAAGUGAAUCGGCGAGUGGAAAUUACGUCAGGCGAGCCUCCAGUUUGAUCAGAGCUUGACAUGGCGGUGCUCAGGUUCAGCUGAACAGGCGAAACUUGAUGAAGAACUGAUCGCUCUCUGAUUUACUCAACCUGAUCCGUAUUACUCUGAUCAUUUUAAUGAAGUUCCGAUUGGGUGGGUCUGAAGGUAAACUGAAGCCCUUCUCCCUGCGAUUAUUCGGAUCAGGUUCUGAUCAGGUUAACCUGACCUCAAA